AAACUUACAGAGCAUCGAGGCAACGUGAUCACGAAGGCGUUGUUUCCUAGGCGAAAGCCUUGUGCUUGCCAGAACUGGUUUAGCAGAUGCCUAAUUUUUGAUAGUCACGGGGUGGACCUGCGA
Exaiptasia diaphana is the source of this 123-nucleotide small nuclear RNA. RefSeq annotates it as U1 spliceosomal RNA. The record is from RefSeq and is a predicted model, not a curated record. The transcript has a single exon. NCBI's taxonomy places the organism in Eukaryota, Metazoa, Cnidaria, Anthozoa, Actiniaria, Aiptasiidae.